Long non-coding RNA from Amphibalanus amphitrite, 644 nucleotides. RefSeq lists it as uncharacterized. The record is from RefSeq and is a predicted model, not a curated record. The transcript is spliced from 5 exons. Lineage: Eukaryota; Metazoa; Arthropoda; Thecostraca; Balanomorpha; Balanidae.
CCCUAAUAUUGGCUUCACCACACAAUUUGAGCCCUCAAACUGGAAUCAGGCUGUUAGCCCGGCUGAACGGCCUGUGUGGACUGCCGCUGUUCGGCUGCUACGCCGCGUCGCUGAUCAACAUCGUCACCAGUGCCUACGCCAGCGUCGUGCUUUCGAAUGUUUCGGCGUUCGAUGACCUCGGAGCCCACACGAAGGUGGCGUCUUACACGGUUUAUAUCAUGCUGUUUCUCUGGCGUGUGAUCGCCUAUUCGGUCUACGGCUCACACAUUACGGAAAAGAAUGCAGCGCUGGCGGAAACGCUCACGACGAUGGAUUGGAGCGUCGUGUCUAAAGCAGACAGGCGUCGGAAGAAGGCUUUCUUACAGAUCGUCAAGCUUCCAUUCAAUGUCACGGCAAUGGGGUUUUUCAUAAUUGAGAAAAGCAACAUUCUUGCGGUUUUCGGAUUUAUUAUGACGUACUUCAUUAUCCUACUGCAGAUGGGAGAGCACCCUCAAUCAGAUACUGUGGGCACAUCUUCCAAUGUGACCGUUUAAUUCUCUUCGCAGCCCACAUGGUAUCAUCUACGAGACAUAAUCGGUGACCGCUUUGACAACACAACCCAUAAUCAUGUUUGUCCUACACCCAAAUAAAUACGGUCGAAUGUG